RNAcentral lists this ribosomal RNA (506 nucleotides) under uncultured bacterium. RNAcentral's name for it is "bacterial SSU rRNA". It matches the Rfam family "Bacterial small subunit ribosomal RNA", at positions 28 to 520 of the family's 1533-position model. The record is from RNAcentral.
GACGAACGCUGGCGGCGCGCCUAACACAUGCAAGUCGAACGAGAGAGAGGGAGCUUGCUUCCUCGAUCGAGUGGCGAACGGGUGAGUAACGCGUGAGGAACCUGCCUCAAAGAGGGGGACAACAGUUGGAAACGACUGCUAAUACCGCAUAAGCCCACGGGUCGGCAUCGACCAGAGGGAAAAGGAGCAAUCCGCUUUGAGAUGGCCUCGCGUCCGAUUAGCUAGUUGGUGAGGUAACGGCCCACCAAGGCAACGAUCGGUAGCCGGACUGAGAGGUUGAACGGCCACAUUGGGACUGAGACACGGCCCAGACUCCUACGGGAGGCAGCAGUGGGGAAUAUUGGUCAAUGGGCGAGAGCCUGAACCAGCCAAGUAGCGUGAAGGAUGAAGGUCCUACGGAUUGUAAACUUCUUUUAUACGGGACGAAAAGGAUCGUGAUAAUACCAUGGUCUGCUGACGGUACCUGAAGAAUAAGCACCGGCUAACUACGUGCCAGCAGCCGACGG